AGCACUACCAAGGUAGUGGUGAUCUUUGCCAUUCUUGUUUUCCUGCAUGUGUCAUGCACCGCCAGUCAGGUCCGCGACCUCCCGGCGGUGAUGUCGGUAAAUGGCUUCCAGAACGGAGAGGAGGGCGGGCCAGCAAGCUGCGACGGCCAGUACCACAGCGACGACCUCUUGCUCGUGUCGAUGGCUUCAAAGUGGUACGGGCCUGGCCUCCGGUGCGGAAAGAUGAUCAACAUCAAGAGAUUGAUCGGGAUAUCCGUUCAGGCCAUGGCCGUGGACGAUUGCGGGGACGGCUGUGGAGAUGACGAAAUCAGUACAUCGGCCGCUGUGUGGAAGGCCUUGGGGAUUGACACCAGCAUCGGUGAGGUGCCUGUCCUCUGGUCGGAU
This 384-nucleotide ribosomal RNA is filed under the name Triticum aestivum (bread wheat). RNAcentral describes it as "partial small subunit ribosomal RNA". Lineage: Eukaryota; Viridiplantae; Streptophyta; Magnoliopsida; Poales; Poaceae. The record is from RNAcentral.